AGGACAUAUUUCCCACAUAAACGGUGGUUGAAGUCUGAAGUGCCACUUCAAAUUCAUCUUGUGUUCCAUGAAAUCUUCUAUCCCGAUAAACAGAUAGCUUCGAUGGGUCCUUGAAUAGCGAAGCCAUGAACCCUAGAACAACAAAAUCUUUGCGUUUCGGCGGCAGAGGGCGGCGGAGGUGGACGGAGGCGGCGGCAGCGUGGUGGAUGGAGGCGGCGGCAGAGGGGUGGAUGGAGGCGGCGGCAGAGG
This 249-nucleotide unclassified non-coding RNA is filed under the name Hevea brasiliensis (rubber tree). The record is from RNAcentral. Lineage: Eukaryota; Viridiplantae; Streptophyta; Magnoliopsida; Malpighiales; Euphorbiaceae.